GGAAACGCUUACGGUAGAUACCUAGGCACCCAAAGACAAGGAAGGGCAUAGUAAUCGACAAAAUGCUUUGGGAGUUAAAUAAGAAUAGAUCCAAAGAUUCUCGAAUAAGGCAACCUUUCGAACUGCUAUUGAAUCCAUGGGCAGGCAAGAGACAACUUGGCAAACUGAAACAAUUUAGUAGCCAAAGGAAAAGAAAGCAAAAGCAAUUCCAGUAGUAGUGACGAGCGAAAUGGGAUUAGUAGUCAAAAGCAUCACUAGCUUACGCUCUGACCCGAGUAGUAUGGGACAUGUGGAAUCCCAUGCGAAUCAGCAAGGACCACCUUGCAAGGGUAAAUAAUCCUAGGUGAUCGAUAGCAAAGUAGUACCAUGAGGAAAGGAUGAAAAGAACCUCCCAUUAGGGAAUGAAAUAGAAUAUGAAACCAUAAGCUCCCAAGUAGUGGGAGGAUGGCAGUCUCUGACCGCAUGCCUGUUGAAGAAUGAGCUGGCGACUCAUAGGCAGUGGCUUGGUUAAGGGAACCCAUCUGAGCCAUAGUGAAAGCGAGUCUACAUAGGGCGAUUGUCACUGCUUAUGGACCUAAACCUGGGUGAUCUAUCCAUGACCAGGAUGAAGCUUGGGUGCAACUAAGUGGAGGUUCGAACUGACUGAUUUUGAAAAAUCAGCGGAUGAGUUGUGGUUAGGGGUGAAAUGCCACUCGAACCCAGAGCUAGCUGGUUCUCCCCUAAAUGCGUUGAGGCGUAGUAGUUGACUGGACAUCUAGGGGUAAAGCAUUGUUUCGGUGUGGGCUACGAGAGCGGCACCAAAUCAAGGCAAUACUAUAUAUGACCUCAAAAUAACAGGGGUCAAGGUCAGCCAGUGAGACGAUGGGGGAUAAGCUUCAUCGUCGAGAGGGAAAUAGCCCAGAUCACUAGCUAAGGCCCCUAAAUGAUCGCUCAGAGCUGCCACCCUUAAAAGAGUGUGUAAUAGGUUACUAAUCGAGCGCUCUUACGCUGAAGAUAAAUGGGGCUAAGCGGAAUCAAGAAUGUCAGCUUGAGUAACACAAACAUUGGUGAGAAUCCAAUGCCUAAAAACCUAAGGGUUCCUCCGCAAGGUUCAUCCAUGGAGGGUGAGUCAGUGCCUAAGAUCAGGCCGAAAGGUAUAGUCGAUGGACAAUAGGUGAAUAUUCAUGUACUACCCCUUGUUGGUCCCGAGGGAGGAAGUAGGCUAGGUUAGCUGAAAGCUGGUUAUCGAUUCAAGAAUGUAAGGUGCCCCUACUUUUUCAGGGUAAGAAGGGGUAGAGAAAAUACGUCGAGUUAAUGUUUGAGUACCAGGCACUACGACGUUGAAGUAACCCACGCCAUACUCCCAGGAAAAGCUCGAAUGACCUUUAAACAAAAGGGUACCUAUACCCGAAAUCUACACAGGCGGGUAGAUAGAGAAUACCUAGGGGUGCGAGAUAACUCUCUCUAAGGAACUCGACAAAAUAGCCCCGUAACUUUAAGAGAAGGGGUACCUCCUCACAAAGGGGGUCACAGUGACCAGGCUCGGGCGAAUGUUUACCAAAAACACAGGUCUCUACAAAAUCAUAAGACCAUGUAUAGGAGUUGACGCCUACCCAGUGCCGAAAGGCCAAGGAAGUUGGAGACUUGAUGACAGAGGAGUCGACGAUUGAAGCCCCUGUGAAUGGUGACCAUAACUAUAACAGUCCUAAGGUAGCAAAAUUCCUUGUCGAGUAAGUUUCGACCCGCACGAAAGGCAUAAUGAUCUGAGCACUGUCUCAGAGAGAGGCUCGAUAAAAUGGACAUGUCUGUGAAGAUGCGGACUACCUGCACUUGGAUAGAAAGACCCUAUGAAGCUUCACUGUUCCUUGGGAUUGGGUUUGGGCCUUUCCUGCAUAGCUUAGGUGGAAGGCGAAAAGGCCUCCUUCCGGGGGCCCGAGCCAUCAGUGAGAUACCACUCUAGAAGAGCUAGAAUUCUAACAUUGUGUCAGGACCUAUGGGCCAAGGGAUAGUCUCAGCUAGACAAUUUCUACGGGGCGUAGGCCUCCCAAAAGGUAACGGAGGUGUGCAAUGGUUUCCUUGGGCCAGAUGGAGAUUGGCCCCCUAGUGCAAAGGUAGAAGUGAGCUUGAUAGAAAGACCCACCCUUCGAGCAGGGACGAAAGUCAGCCUUAGUGAUCCGAUGGUACAGAGUCGAAGGGCCGUCACUCAGUGGAUAAAAGUUACUCUAGGGAUAAUAGGCUGAUCUUCCCCAAGAGCUCACAUCAACGAGAAGGUUUGGCAAAUCGAUGUCGGCUAUUUGCCACCUGGGACUGUAGUAUGUUCCAAAGGUUGGGUUGUUCACCAUUAAAGUGGUACGUGAGCUAGGUUCAGAACUUCAUGAGAUAGUUUAGUCCAUAUCUGGUGUGGGUGUUAGAGCAUUGAGAAGACCUUUUCCUAAUAUGAGAGGACCGGGAAGGACGCACCUCUGGUGUACUAGUUAUCGUGCCCACGGUAAAUGCUGGGUAGCCUAGUACGGAGCGGAUAACUGCUGAAAGCAUCCAAGUAGUAAGCCCAUCCCAAGAUAAGUUCUCUUUUAUUCCGACAUCCCCAGAGCUUUCGAUAGCAUAGCAGAGACAAUGACAGGUUUUCUGCCCCUACGGGGAUGGAGCGACAGAUGUUUUGAGAAUUCAAGAGAAGGUCAUGGUGAGACGAGCUAUUUAUCAUUAUGAUAGGUGUUGAGUGGAAGUGCAGUGAUGUCUGCAGCUGAGGCAUCCUAAUAGACCAGUAGACUUGAAC
Molecule: ribosomal RNA, 2752 nt
Filed under: Olea europaea var. sylvestris
Lineage: Eukaryota; Viridiplantae; Streptophyta; Magnoliopsida; Lamiales; Oleaceae
Description: bacterial LSU rRNA
Rfam family: Bacterial large subunit ribosomal RNA
Source: RNAcentral